CUUCGGGAACUCUGAGACAGGUGCUGCAUGGCUGUCGUCAGCUCGUGUUGUGAAAUGUUGGGUUAAGUCCCGCAACGAGCGCAACCCUUAUCCUUUGUUGCCAGCGGUCCGGCCGGGAACUCAAAGGAGACUGCCAGUGAUAAACUGGAGGAAGGUGGGGAUGACGUCAAGUCAUCAUGGCCCUUACGAGUAGGGCUACACACGUGCUACAAUGGCAUA
Molecule: ribosomal RNA, 219 nt
Filed under: Klebsiella aerogenes
Lineage: Bacteria; Pseudomonadati; Pseudomonadota; Gammaproteobacteria; Enterobacterales; Enterobacteriaceae
Description: partial 16S ribosomal RNA
Rfam family: Bacterial small subunit ribosomal RNA
Source: RNAcentral